GCCAUUACUGCUUCAGCCACAGACUGAUACCUUUUCUGAUGUGCUUCCUUCUCAGAAUCCUGUGCCAGUGUCAAGGGUAUUACAAGCAAUUUUGACCUUCAUUUCAGUUACGGCUUAAGAAUCUACUUACUAGACAACAAAAACCAUGAAGACUGAAUACAAACCUCCCAUCAUGGUAUAUCUAUGAUUCUGUAUAAUGUCCAGCACAAAUGUGUAUAACAAAGCAUCUACCAAGAUAUGGAAAGAUAAAGGCCUUUUCACUGAAG
This is a long non-coding RNA of Passer domesticus (house sparrow), 266 nucleotides long. RefSeq lists it as uncharacterized. The record is from RefSeq and is a predicted model, not a curated record. Lineage: Eukaryota; Metazoa; Chordata; Aves; Passeriformes; Passeridae. The transcript has 3 exons.